AUUGAACGCUGGCGGAAUGCUUUACACAUGCAAGUCGAGCGGCAGCGCGGGGGCAACCCUGGCGGCGAGCGGCGAACGGGUGAGUAACAUAUCGGAACGUACCCCGUCGUGGGGGAUAACACAGCGAAAGCUGUGCUAAUACCGCAUACGACCUGAGGGUGAAAGCGGGGGAUCGCAAGACCUCGCGCGAUGGGAGCGGCCGAUAUCGGAUUAGCUUGUUGGUGAGGUAAAGGCUCACCAAGGCGACGAUCCGUAGCUGGUCUGAGAGGACGACCAGCCACACUGGAACUGAGACACGGUCCAGACUCCUACGGGAGGCAGCAGUGGGGAAUUUUGGGACAAUGGGGGGCAACCCUGAUCCAGCCAUUCCGCGUGAGUGAAGAAGGCCU
RNAcentral lists this ribosomal RNA (389 nucleotides) under uncultured bacterium. Its description in RNAcentral is "bacterial SSU rRNA". It matches the Rfam family "Bacterial small subunit ribosomal RNA", at positions 29 to 417 of the family's 1533-position model. The record is from RNAcentral.